RNAcentral lists this unclassified non-coding RNA (432 nucleotides) under soil metagenome. RNAcentral's name for it is "partial contains 5.8S ribosomal RNA, internal transcribed spacer 2, and large subunit ribosomal RNA". The stretch from base 1 to 120 matches the Rfam family "5.8S ribosomal RNA", at positions 35 to 154 of the family's 154-position model. The record is from RNAcentral.
GAUGAAGAACGUAGCGAAAUGCGAUACGUAAUGUGAAUUGCAGAAUUCAGUGAAUCAUCGAAUCUUUGAACGCAUAUUGCGCUCUCUGGUAUUCCGGAGAGCAUGCUUGUUUGAGUAUCAGUAAACACCUCAACUUCCAUAUCUUUUUUGAAAUGGGAGUUGGACUUGAGUGAUCCCAACGCUUUUCCUCACCGAAAAGUGGCGGGUUACUUGAAAUGCAGGUGCAGCUGGACUUUUCUCUGAGCUAUAAGCAUAUCUAUUUAGUCUGCCUAAAAAACAGAUUAUUACCUUUGCUGCAGCUAACAUAAAGGAGAUUAGUUCUUGUGCUGACUGAUGCAGGAUUCACAAAGACAGCUUCGGCCGACUUUGUAAACUCGAUCUCAAAUCACGUAAGACUACCCGCUGAACUUAAGCAUAUCAAUAAGCGGAGGA